CUACGGGGGGCACCAGUGGGGAAUCUUGCGCAAUGGGCGAAAGCCUGACGCAGCAACGCCGCGUGCGGGAUGAAGGCCUUCGGGUUGUAAACCGCUUUUAACAGGAACGAAAAUGACGGUACCUGUAGAAUAAGGUGCGGCCAACUACGUGCCAGCAGCCGCGGUGACACGUAGGCACCAAGCGUUGUCCGGAUUUAUUGGGCGUAAAGAGCUCGUAGGCGGUUCAGUAAGUCGGGUGUGAAAACUCUGGGCUUAACCCAGAGACGCCACGCGAUACUACUGUGACUAGAGUUCGGUAGGGGAGCGGGGAAUUCCUAGUGUAGCGGUGAAAUGCGCAGAUAUUAGGAGGAACACCGGUGGCGAAGGCGCCGCUCUGGGCCGAUACUGACGCUGAGGAGCGAAAGCGUGGGUAGCAAACAGGAUUAGAUACCCUGGUAGUC
RNAcentral lists this ribosomal RNA (440 nucleotides) under uncultured bacterium. Its description in RNAcentral is "partial 16S ribosomal RNA". It matches the Rfam family "Bacterial small subunit ribosomal RNA", at positions 339 to 795 of the family's 1533-position model. The record is from RNAcentral.